GACGAGCGCUGGCGGCGUGCUUAACACAUGCAAGUCGAACGGUAAGGCCCUUCGGGGUACACGAGUGGCGAACGGGUGAGUAACACGUGGGUGAUCUGCCCUGCACUUCGGGAUAAGCCUGGGAAACUGGGUAUAAUACCGGAUAGGACCACUGCCUGCAUGGGUGGUGGUGGAAAGCUUUUGCGGUGUGGGAUGGGCCCGCGGCCUAUCAGCUUGUUGGUGGGGUGAUGGCCUACCAAGGCGACGACGGGUAGCCGGCCUGAGAGGGUGACCGGCCACACUGGGACUGAGAUACGGCCCAGACUCCUACGGGAGGCAGCAGUGGGGAAUAUUGCACAAUGGGCGCAAGCCUGAUGCAGCGACGCCGCGUGAGGGAUGACGGCCUUCGGGUUGUAAACCUCUUUCAGCACCGACGAAGCGCAAGUGACGGUAGGUGCAGAAGAAGGACCGGCCAACUACGUGUCAGCAGCCGCCGCAG
RNAcentral lists this ribosomal RNA (478 nucleotides) under uncultured bacterium. RNAcentral's name for it is "partial 16S ribosomal RNA". It matches the Rfam family "Bacterial small subunit ribosomal RNA", at positions 28 to 523 of the family's 1533-position model. The record is from RNAcentral.